Molecule: ribosomal RNA, 465 nt
Filed under: uncultured bacterium
Lineage: Bacteria
Description: partial 16S ribosomal RNA
Rfam family: Bacterial small subunit ribosomal RNA
Source: RNAcentral
GACGAACGCUGGCGGCGUGCUUAACACAUGCAAGUCGAACGGAAAGGCCCUGCUGGCGGGGUACUCGAGUGGCGAACGGGUGAGUAACACGAGGGUGAUCUGCCCUGCACUUCGGGAUAAGCCUGGGAAACUGGGUCUAAUACCGGAUAGGAGCCAUUUGUAGUGAGAUGGUUGGAAAGUGAUUUGGGGGUAGGUUGGGUUGGCGGCCUAUUAGUUUGUUGGUGGGGUAAUGGCCUACCAAGGCGGCGACGGGUAGCCGGGCUGCGUGGGGGGACGGCCACAGUGGGAAUGAGUUACGGCCCAGACUGCUACGGGAGGCAGGAGUGGGGAAUAUUGCAGAAUGGGCGAAAGCCUGAGGCAGCGACGCCGCGUGGGGGAUGACGGCCUUCGGGUUGUAAACUCCUUUCGCUAGGGACGAAGCAUUUUGUGACGGUACCUAGAUAAGAAGCACCGGCUAACUACGUG